RNAcentral lists this small RNA (78 nucleotides) under Chryseobacterium formosense. RNAcentral describes it as "Flavo-1 RNA". It matches the Rfam family "Flavo-1 RNA". Lineage: Bacteria; Pseudomonadati; Bacteroidota; Flavobacteriia; Flavobacteriales; Weeksellaceae. The record is from RNAcentral.
CAAUAGCCCUGAUUGCAGCGGCAUCCUUUUGUGAUGAGGAACGAAGAGCAAAAGAUAUAGCGGAAAGCAGGUUCCUGG